GUUUAUUAAGUGAAGUUUCCAUGAAUCUUGAUCCUCAGUCCAAUAAAACAGCUUGUUUCCUAGAACGGUUGGUGGAAUCAGCUGAAACUAACCGGCAGAAACUGUUGGCUUUUCAUCAGUUGGGUUGUGUGAGGCUUUUGAGGAAAGAGUAUGAUGAAGCUGAAUGUCUUUUUGAGGCAGCUUUGAAUGCUGGUCAUAUAUAUUCUGUAUCAGGUUCUGGCUAGACUGGGUUACAUUAGGGGUCAUAGACUUUGGGCUUAUGACAAGCUCAGCUCUGUGAUUUCAUCUACUACCCCACUGGGAUGGAUGUACCAGGAGAGGUCCUUGCACUGCGAAGGCUAUAAGAUAUGUGAGGACCUUGAGAAAGCAACCGAGUUGGAUCCUACUCUCACAUAUCCCUACAUGUAUCGUGCAGCUUCUUUUAUGAGGAGACAGAAUGUUCAAGCUGCACUUGCAGAAAUUAACCGGGUUCUUGGGUUUAAACUUGCAUUGGAAUGCUUGGAACUCCGAUUUUGUUUUUAUCUAGGUCUUGAGGAUUACAGAGCAGCCCUUUGUGAUGUUCAGGCAAUUCUUACACUCUCCCCAGAUUAUAGAAUGUUUGAGGGGCGGGUGGCAGCAUACCAACUUCGAACCCUUGUUCGUGAGCAUGUUGGGAAUUGGACAACAGCAGAUUGUUGGAUGCAAUUGUAUGAGAGGUGGUCUUCAGUUGAUGAUAUAGGGUCCCUCUCUGUCAUAUACCAAAUGCUUGAAUCUGAUGCACCAAAAGGUGUUCUAUACUUCAGGCAGUCUCUGCUUCUUCUUAGGUUGAACUGUCCUGAGGUAUAGAACACCUUUUGGUGCAUCAGAUUCAAGCAUUUGGUCAACAUGCAUCAACUGAACAUGAACGUCUAGUUUAUGAAGGAUGGAUCUUGUAUGACACUGGUCA
RNAcentral lists this unclassified non-coding RNA (925 nucleotides) under Hevea brasiliensis (rubber tree). The record is from RNAcentral. Lineage: Eukaryota; Viridiplantae; Streptophyta; Magnoliopsida; Malpighiales; Euphorbiaceae.